This 498-nucleotide ribosomal RNA is filed under the name uncultured bacterium. RNAcentral's name for it is "partial 16S ribosomal RNA". It matches the Rfam family "Bacterial small subunit ribosomal RNA", at positions 28 to 507 of the family's 1533-position model. The record is from RNAcentral.
GACGAACGCUGGCGGCGUGCCUAAUACAUGCAAGUCGAGCGGACGGAUGGGAGCUUGCUCCCAGACCGUCAGCGGCGGACGGGUGAGUAACACGUGGGCAACCUGCCUGUAAGACUGGGAUAACUCCGGGAAACCGGGGAUAAUACCGGAUAACUCUUUCCCUCACAUGAGGGAAAGCUGAAAGAUGGCAUCUCGCUAUCACUUACAGAUGGGCCCGCGGCGCAUUAGCUAGUUGGUGAGGUAACGGCUCACCAAGGCGACGAUGCGUAGCCGACCUGAGAGGGUGAUCGGCCACACUGGGACUGAGACACGGCCCAGACUCCUACGGGAGGCAGCAGUAGGGAAUCUUCCACAAUGGACGAAAGUCUGACGGAGCAACGCCGCGUGAGUGAUGAAGGUUUUCGGAUCGUAAAACUCUGUUGUCAGGGAAGAACAAGUACCGGAGUAACUGCCGGUACCUUGACGGUACCUGACCAGAAAGCCACGGCUAACUACGUG